GGGGCCGUAGUCUAGCUUGGUAUGAUGCGUGGCUCGGGCCCACGUGGACCGGGGUUCAAAUCCCCGCGGCCCCA
This 74-nucleotide transfer RNA is filed under the name Thermoprotei archaeon. RNAcentral's name for it is "tRNA-Pro". It matches the Rfam family "tRNA". From Rfam's summary of the family: Transfer RNA (tRNA) molecules are approximately 80 nucleotides in length. Lineage: Archaea; Thermoproteati; Thermoproteota; Thermoprotei. The record is from RNAcentral.